GAUGAACGCUGGCGGCGUGCCUAAUACAUGCAAGUCGAGCGAACAGAUGAUGAGCUUGCUGCGCUGACGUUAGCGGCGGACGGGUGAGUAACACGUGUAUAACCUACCUAUAAUACGGGGAUAACUUCGGGACACGGGAGCUUAUAGCAGAGAAUAUAUUGAAGCGCAGUGGGCAAUAGUAAAAUACGGUGUUGCGGUCACUUCUAGCUGGAUCCGGGCCUCAUUGUCUAGUUGGUAGGGUAACAGGUUACGAAGGCAACGAUGCGUAGACGACGGGAGAGGGUGAUAGGCCACAUUGGAGCUGAGCCACGCACCAGACUCCUACGGGAGGCAGCAGUCGCGAACGUUACGCAAUGGGGGAAAGCCUGACGGAGCAACGCCGCGUGAGUGAUGGGGGUCUUCGGAUCGUAAAAACCUGUUACUAGGGAUGAACAAAUUUGUAAGUAACUAUGCCCUUAUUGACGGUACCUAAUAAGAAAGCAACGGCUAACUACGUG
Molecule: ribosomal RNA, 497 nt
Filed under: uncultured bacterium
Lineage: Bacteria
Description: partial 16S ribosomal RNA
Rfam family: Bacterial small subunit ribosomal RNA
Source: RNAcentral